GACGAACGCUGGCGGCGUGCCUAACACAUGCAAGUCGAACGGAAAGGCCCUGCUUUUGUGGGGUGCUCGAGUGGCGAACGGGUGAGUAACACGUGAGUAACCUGCCCUUGACCUUGGGAUAACUUCAGGACACUGGGGCUAAUACCGGAUAGGAGCUCCUGCUGCAUGGUGGGCGUUGGAAGGUUUCGCUGGUUGGGAUGGGACCGGCGGCCUAUAGGUUGGUUGGGGGGGUAUUGGGUUACCAAGCCCUUACGGGGUGCCCGGCCUGAAAGGGUCACCGGACAAAUUGGGACUGGGGUAAGGCCCAGACUCCUACGGGAGGCAGCAGUGGAGAAUAUUGCACAAGGGGCGGAGGCCAAAUGCAACAACGCCGAGUGGGGGAUGACAGCCUUCGGGUUGGAACCCGCUUUCGCCUGUCACGAAGCGAUAGUGACGGUAAUGGGUAAAGAAGCACCGGCUAACUACGUG
RNAcentral lists this ribosomal RNA (468 nucleotides) under uncultured bacterium. Its description in RNAcentral is "partial 16S ribosomal RNA". It matches the Rfam family "Bacterial small subunit ribosomal RNA", at positions 28 to 507 of the family's 1533-position model. The record is from RNAcentral.